UGAGUAACACGUAUCCAACCUGCCGUCUACUCUUGGCCAGCCUUCUGAAAGGAAGAUUAAUCCAGGAUGGCAUCAUGAGUUCACAUGUCCGCAUGAUUAAAGGUAUUUUCCGGUAGACGAUGGGGAUGCGUUCCAUUAGAUAGUAGGCGGGGUAACGGCCCACCUAGUCAACGAUGGAUAGGGGUUCUGAGAGGAAGGUCCCCCACAUUGGGACUGAGACACGGCCCAA
This 229-nucleotide ribosomal RNA is filed under the name uncultured bacterium. RNAcentral describes it as "partial 16S ribosomal RNA". It matches the Rfam family "Bacterial small subunit ribosomal RNA", at positions 107 to 334 of the family's 1533-position model. The record is from RNAcentral.